RNAcentral lists this ribosomal RNA (231 nucleotides) under uncultured bacterium. RNAcentral's name for it is "partial 16S ribosomal RNA". It matches the Rfam family "Bacterial small subunit ribosomal RNA", at positions 118 to 350 of the family's 1533-position model. The record is from RNAcentral.
UGAGCAACCUGCCCUUAGCUCUGGGAUAACCCCGGGGAACCGGGGCUAAUACCGGAUAUGAGUCCGAGCGGCAUCACGCGGACUGGAAAGUUUUUCGGCUAAGGAUGGGCUCGCGGCCUAUCAGCUAGUUGGUGUGGGUAAUGGCCCACCAAGGCGACGACGGGUAGCCGGCCUGAGAGGGUGACCGGCCACACUGGGACUGAGACACGGCCCAGACUCCUACGGGAGGCA